This 471-nucleotide long non-coding RNA is filed under the name Ananas comosus (pineapple). RNAcentral's name for it is "long non-coding RNA (ACOM_LNC011751)". Lineage: Eukaryota; Viridiplantae; Streptophyta; Magnoliopsida; Poales; Bromeliaceae. The record is from RNAcentral.
GGUGAAUGACAUGUCGUCAAAUUUCAAUUGGUUGUAAUUUCUAUCUCAUAUACUCGCUAAGUUAUUAUAAUUAAAUUUUAUAAUCCAAUUUAGUUGAUUGGAUGCUGAUGUCCUACAUGCUGAUGUGUCGCUGACGUGAUAGUAAUGUGAUGUAACGGCUCAAUCCACUAGCAACAAUAAUUUGUUGGGGCCAAACACCGAUCCAAAAUGCUUAAGUCCAGUUACUAUUACUAGUGUCUAAGUCUUUUAUAUAUCCAAUCACAUUUCUAUUUAUAUCCGAUGUAGAAUUAUUGGGAUGUAACACACAUAGGAAUCAUUGCCACAACAUCAAUCACAAUACUGUUAUAUAACUGUUAUAUCUGCUGUAACACAAUCUUACUAAGUAGAUUUGAUUGUAAUAAUUUAGAAGAAAAAUGAAAUAGUGAUUGCGACAAAUUACAAUCUAAGGAUUGAGGAUCAAAAUUAUAAUUU